This 72-nucleotide transfer RNA is filed under the name Lentinula edodes (shiitake mushroom). It matches the Rfam family "tRNA". From Rfam's summary of the family: Transfer RNA (tRNA) molecules are approximately 80 nucleotides in length. Their secondary structure includes four short double-helical elements and three loops (D, anti-codon, and T loops). Lineage: Eukaryota; Fungi; Basidiomycota; Agaricomycetes; Agaricales; Omphalotaceae. The record is from Rfam by way of RNAcentral.
GCCCCGGUAGCUUAGUGGUAAAAGCGUUAUAUUGAAGCUAUAGAAAUGGGAGUUCAAUUCUCUCCCGGGGCA